This 497-nucleotide ribosomal RNA is filed under the name uncultured bacterium. RNAcentral describes it as "partial 16S ribosomal RNA". It matches the Rfam family "Bacterial small subunit ribosomal RNA", at positions 28 to 507 of the family's 1533-position model. The record is from RNAcentral.
GAUGAGCGCUGGCGGCGUGCCUAAUACAUGCAAGUCGAGCGAACAGACGAGGAGCUUGCUCCUCUGACGUUAGCGGCGGACGGGUGAGUAACACGUGGAUAACCUACCUAUAAGACUGGGAUAACUUCGGGAAACCGGAGCUAAUACCGGAUAAUAUAUUGAACCGCAUGGUUCAAUAGUGAAAGACGGCUUUGCUGUCACUUAUAGAUGGAUCCGCGCCGCAUUAGCUAGUUGGUAAGGUAACGGCUUACCAAGGCAACGAUGCGUAGCCGACCUGAGAGGGUGAUCGGCCACACUGGAACUGAGACACGGUCCAGACUCCUACGGGAGGCAGCAGUAGGGAAUCUUCCGCAAUGGGCGAAAGCCUGACGGAGCAACGCCGCGUGAGUGAUGAAGGUCUUCGGAUCGUAAAACUCUGUUAUUAGGGAAGAACAAAUGUGUAAGUAACUAUGCACGUCUUGACGGUACCUAAUCAGAAAGCCACGGCUAACUACGUG